Molecule: ribosomal RNA, 404 nt
Filed under: uncultured Rickettsiales bacterium
Lineage: Bacteria; Pseudomonadati; Pseudomonadota; Alphaproteobacteria; Rickettsiales
Description: bacterial SSU rRNA
Rfam family: Bacterial small subunit ribosomal RNA
Source: RNAcentral
UGGGGAAUAUUGGACAAUGGGGGAAACCCUGAUCCAGCGAUGCCGCGUGAAUGAAGAAGGCCUUAGGGUUGUAAAGUUCUUUCACCUGUGACGAUGAUGACGGUAGCAGGAGAAGAAGCCCCGGCUAACUCCGUGCCAGCAGCCGCGGUAAUACGGAGGGGGCUAGCGUUGUUCGGAAUAACUGGGCGUAAAGGGCGCGUAGGCGGUUUAAUAAGUUAGGCGUGAAAGCCCCGGGCUUAACCUGGGAUGUGCGUUUAAGACUGUUAAGCUAGAGUGCGAGAGAGGAAAGUGGAAUUCCUAGUGUAGAGGUGAAAUUCGUAGAUAUUAGGAAGAACACCAGUGGCGAAGGCGACUUUCUGGCUCGCAACUGACGCUGAGGCGCGAAAGCGUGGGGAGCAAACAGG